RNAcentral lists this unclassified non-coding RNA (233 nucleotides) under plant metagenome. RNAcentral's name for it is "partial contains small subunit ribosomal RNA, internal transcribed spacer 1, and 5.8S ribosomal RNA". The stretch from base 1 to 54 matches the Rfam family "Eukaryotic small subunit ribosomal RNA", at positions 1778 to 1831 of the family's 1831-position model. The record is from RNAcentral.
GGAAGUAGAAGUCGUAACAAGGUUUCCGUAGGUGAACCUGCGGAAGGAUCAUUCAUAAUAAAGUGUUUUAUGGCACCUUUUAAAAAUCCAUAUCCACCUUGUGUGCAAUGUUAGAUCUCGUCAAUCUUGGCGAGAUUUUUAUACAUCAACUCAUUCUUUAACUAAUUUGUCUGAAAAAUAUUAUGAAUACUUAAUUCAGAAUACAACUUUCAACAACGGAUCUCUUGGCUCUC